This 276-nucleotide unclassified non-coding RNA is filed under the name uncultured Acidimicrobiia bacterium. Its description in RNAcentral is "contains 16S-23S intergenic spacer region". Lineage: Bacteria; Bacillati; Actinomycetota; Acidimicrobiia. The record is from RNAcentral.
UCCGAGUUGACCCCGGCAGUCUCCUGUGAGUCCCCAUCACCCCGAAGGACACCGUAUCUCUACGGCUUUUCCCUACAUGUCAAGCCUAGGUAAGGUUCUUCGCGUUGCAUCGAAUUAAGCAACAUGCUCCGCCGCUUGUGCGGGCCCCCGUCAAUUCCUUUGAGUUUUAGCCUUGCGGCCGUACUCCCCAGGCGGGGCACUUAAUGCGUUAGCUACGGCACGGAUCCCGUCGAUAGGGUCCCACACCUAGUGCCCAACGUUUACGGCGUGGACUAC